AAAACAUUUUUUGCUCUUAGUCCGGGAGACCAAAAAGAGCUAUUAACGAAGCUACAGAAAAAGUACCGCAAGGGAAAGCUGAAAGAGAUAUGAAAAAGCCCAGUAAAGCCCGAAAAAGCAGAGACACCCCCUCGUACCUUUUGCAUCAUGAUUUAGCUAGUAUUCCCAAGCAAAGAGUCCUUUAGUUUGGAGCCCCGAAACCGAGGGAGCUACUUCAAGACAGCCUAAAAAUAGGGCUAACCCUUCCCUGUGGCAAAAGGGUGGGAUGAGCUUUAAGUAGAGGUGAUAAACCUAACGAACUCAGUUAUAGCUGGUUGCCUGAAAAUUGGAUAUAAGUUCAGCCUCCCGGCUCCUCCCCUCCUUAGUAUCUAUAAUAUACAGGCCCAAAGGAACCAAGAGAGUUAUUCGAAAGAGGUACAGCUCUUUUGAAAAAAGAUACAACUUUAUCAGGAGGUUAAAGAUCAUAUUUUGUAAAGUUAUACUUCUGAGUAGGCUUAGAAGCAGCCAUCUCCUUAGAUAGCGUUAAAGCUCAAACAAAUAAUUUACUUGUAAUCUCUAUAAACAGAUCUAACACCCCUAGUAUUAUCAGGCCUCCCUAUAUUUUCUUAUAGGAGAGACCAUGCUAAUAUGAGUAAUAAGAGAACCAGACGUUUCUCUCCUGACACAAGUGUAAGUCGGAACGGACCACCCGCCGAAAAUUAAACGGACCCAACCCAAGAGGGAAGUGGAUUUUACUCAAAAAUGCAAGAAAGCCCCCCAUGAGACACCCGUUAACCUCACACUAGAGUGCCCCCGGAAAGACUAAAAGGAGAGGAAGGAACUCGGCAAAUUCUACCCGCAAGCUUCGCCUGUUUACCAAAAACAUCGCCUCUUGUCCCCAAAAAAUAAGAGGUCCUGCCUGCCCAGUGACCAAAAGUUUUAACGGCCGGGGUAUUCUGACCGUGCAAAGGUAGCGUAAUCACUUGUCCUUUAAAUGAAGACCUGUAUGAAUGGCGGUCACGAAAGGCUUCCUCUGUCCUUCCCCCAGUCAAUGAAAUUGAUCUCCCCGGUGCAGAAGCGGGGAUAAGCACAUAAGACGAGAAGACCCUGUGGAGCUUCAGACACUAAGACCAGCCCAUAUAAAUACCUAACUAUAAAUUAGUGUAUAAACUGUAUAGCCCCUGGACGGAUGUCUUCGGUUGGGGCGACCAUGGGGUAAUAAAAAACCCCCAAGAGGACAGAAGCACUACCCAUGUAACACAGCUUCCGUAAAAAAGGUUGACAAACCUAAUUCACAGAACCUCUGACCCAAUCAGAUCCGAUGCAAAUCGAUCAACGAACCAAGUUACCCCAGGGAUAACAGCGCAAU
This 1348-nucleotide ribosomal RNA is filed under the name Samariscus latus (deep-body righteye flounder). RNAcentral's name for it is "16S ribosomal RNA". It matches the Rfam family "Bacterial large subunit ribosomal RNA", at positions 216 to 2486 of the family's 2925-position model. The record is from RNAcentral. Lineage: Eukaryota; Metazoa; Chordata; Actinopteri; Pleuronectiformes; Samaridae.